GGUGAGAUGGCCGAGUUGGUUAUGGCGCCAGGUUAAGGUUACCUUAACUACAAUUUCCUGGUGGAGCAAUCCUCCUGGGUUCAAGUCCCAGUCUCAUCA
Molecule: transfer RNA, 99 nt
Filed under: Coniella lustricola
Lineage: Eukaryota; Fungi; Ascomycota; Sordariomycetes; Diaporthales; Schizoparmaceae
Rfam family: tRNA
About the family: Transfer RNA (tRNA) molecules are approximately 80 nucleotides in length. Their secondary structure includes four short double-helical elements and three loops (D, anti-codon, and T loops).
Source: Rfam by way of RNAcentral